This 2431-nucleotide long non-coding RNA is filed under the name Cricetulus griseus (Chinese hamster). Its description in RNAcentral is "lncRNA (ENSCGRG00015029262.1)". Lineage: Eukaryota; Metazoa; Chordata; Mammalia; Rodentia; Cricetidae. The record is from RNAcentral.
GAUAGGCAGGACUAGGUGAGAAGGAGGAUGCUGGGAAAUGUAGUAAGAGAUGAAGUCACCAUGUGAUCGCCAGGAAGAAAGGAUGCACAUGUCCAGUGUCCUCCAUAAGAUAAGUCUUUAUAAAAUGUAUAGAUUAAUGGUUAUGUUUGAUACUUAAGACAGAAAUAGCAUAUAAGAAAUCCUAGUCAUUGGCCAGCAGCAUUGUACCUAAUAUAAGUCUCUGUGUGUUAUUUUGGGGCCCUAACAUGGCGGCGGGCGGAACUCAGGAGGCUGGCGGAAAGAGUUAUCGUUACAAAAUGGCGCCCACGUAGUUUUAUGAACUUCCACAUUAAAACUUGACAAAAUCUUAAAAGGGGAUUUUAGAAGCAAAAGAACAGAGACAAGCAUGACUUCUUGGUAGCAGCAUUUUCUCUGGUGGUCUCUAUUUUGCUAGAGACAAACGAGAAUAGAGUGGCUCCCUUAAGGGGGGUUUUCUGACUCAGCAUAAGCAGAAAAAACCACAGGGCUCUUUAAGAGGCCCUGCUCACAAUUGAAUAGUGGUGUACGAGCAGCUGGCAAUGGCAGUGACUGCAGAAUGCUACUUGAUGGUAGCAUAGACCAAGGCAGUGAGCACAGCACUCAGUCCUGGCGGUAAAUGUACCCCCUCCAUCUUGCAAAGACAGGGGCUUUGUUGUUUAGCAGAUAAAAGACUUCAUGGCCACAAAAAGGGAAAGAUUUACAGUAAAGACAGAUUCAGAUGAAGAAAAACCUCUAAAGGUUUACAAUGUGUUUAAAAAUAUACGUAGGCUUGUGAGAGAAAAAGAAACUGGAUAAAGUGUUUAAAAAAACAAAGAAGAAGAAAUAGAGUAGCUAGGUGUGGUGGCACAUGCCUUUAAUCCCAGCACUCAGGAGGCAGAGGCAAGCAGAUCUCUGUGACUUCAAGGCCAGCCUGGUGUCCAGAGUGAGUUCAAGGGCAGCCAAAGUUCCACAGAGAAACCCUGUCUCAUAAAAGGAAAAAAUAAAAGUAAAAGAAAUAGAGUAAUGAAAAGCCACGUAAAGAUGGAAGAUACACAGAGAGUCUGGAUACUGUAUGCUAUUGUGUUGUCUUCGAAUUGUUUAAUUUCUGGGGAAGGAGCAACAACUGCUAAAAGAUAUUUGAUUAUCAAUGCUGCUGAAUUAAUCCAACUUAUACAUUUUAAAAAUGCUUUGACUUCAAAAUUUAAGUCUAAGGACAGGCUACUUGGGAAAAGAAUUUCUGCUUUUGUUUUCACAGAAAAUGAAAAGCUGUGGAUUCCUUCCAGACUAAUAUGGUUUGAUCAAGCAAGACCCCCUGAAGCAGUGGCCCAACUGAUCCUAAAUCCAAAAGAGCUGAGAUGAUGCAGUCAUAGACCACUACAGCCAGGGUUUCUGUGGUUUAUCAUGAUUCCCAUGGUAUGGACAUCACCCCCAACCAGCAGGAAGCAGUUUGGAAUGAACGAUGCCCAAAUUCCCAAAUACUGUUUAUAAAUGUUGGUUUUCAUUUAAAUGAGGUUGGUUAUAAAUGGUACUGAUCACAGUCAAUCUCUUUUUAAAGGAAGAAAGGGGAAUAGGAUAUAGAAGCGAGUACUUUGCAUUAGUAUGGAUUUUCAUCUAUUGAUGCAAAUUUAAGGUCAAUUUUGUGAUAUGUAUAUGUUUCCUCUUGUUUAGGUAUUGUGUUUAUACUGAUCUUUUAAAAUGUAAUGGAUAAUUAAAUGCAGAUUGUAUAUAGGCAGUAUAAUAGUCAAAAUUUAGAGUUAGGUUAGUUAGGUUUUCUAGAUAUACAGAGAUGUAUUUGAGAUGGAUAGAUAUUCUUCAAACUUUUCAAAGACCUACAGAAUAUAUGGCAUUUAAAUGGUUUAGGAUUUUUCAUGGCAGUGAGACACAACUGCUCCUGGUACACCAAUUAUGUCUGAGAGGAUAGAUGAUAGAAUAUUUUCUUUAAAAUCUUGCUAAAUGUUAAUGGACUAAAUAUCAUAACUAUAGUUCUUACUUGAUAACUGUUUUGUUAUGUAUUUUACUAUGUUAAUGUUAAAAGCCUUCUUUAUAUUUAUACAGAAAAGAGGAGAUGAUGGGGGAGGUCCUUCUGUGUAUAUGUCUCUCUUAUUGGUUAAUAAAUAAAACACUGUUGGCCAAUAGGGAAGCAAGAUAGGCAGGAAUAGGAGGGAAAUGUAGUAAGAGAUGAAGUCACCAUGUGAUCGCCAGGAAGAAAGGAUGCACAUGUCCGGCAUCCUCAAGCUAUAGCUGGGCUCAGAGAUGGAAGAUGACCCGAGAAGAAUGAAGGGGAAAAAUAGAAAGAAAACCAUGAAGGAACUUAAAAACCAUUGGAUGCAUGCUCUGUGAUCAAAGCACUGUGUGUCGGUGGGCAUUGGGGACACAAAGAAAUAAAAUAGCAGCAGAUUUCUACUCUCAAGCAUCUGAGGGGAAAAGCCAGAAG